AGACGGAUUCAACUGUACACUUAUAAAUGAUUUCCAAUUGUCUGGUAAGUUUUUCAGCUAGUUAACCAAAUAUAAAACAUUCAUACAAGUUAUAUUUUCUUUUAAUUGCGUUAAAUACAAUGUUUUUCCCGUGUAAUAAGACUGGAUUUAAUUUCAGAAGACACAUUCUUGUCACCGCCCAUACCGACAAGUGUCAACAACAUGCUAUUCUCCUUUACAAGUCAUCUCCCGUUCCUUUUUACCAUGAACACGAAUUAUAACUCUCACAAAAUUCAGAUAAUUCUGAUUGCAGAAAACCUCAACUUAAUCUUAUCCAAAGACAUGCAAAUCCAAACGGAAUACAUCAAAACAUUUAGGAUAGCACACAGUUGUUGAAAAAACGAAUGUCAUAAAAAAAAUAUGUAGUCCUAUGAUAACACUGUAAAUAAUUAAAAAUAAAAUCGUUAUAUGGUCAUUUUCAAAAAAAUGUCGACAUUUUCAAGUACACCCAGUUGCUAAAUUUUUUAUUUCUAAUGGAAAUUUCAGUUGUAAUGGUUAAAUGAAAGUUCUGUCGGAUUUGGUUGAUUCAGAACAUUAGAUAAUAAACACACCUUACAUCUAUUUUGGAUAGAUUUAAACUGCAUUUUAAGGUCCGAUUUUGGGGGUAUUGUGUGCGUACGAUGGCUGUCAAAAAAACACAAUUUCAAAUUGAUUUUUUUUCGAAUUUUCUGAUCGCCUUGAUAAUCUGCAAAAGGGAAUUAUUUUAAGAAACGUUCAUUAUAAAUCUCUAAAACGAAAAAUCGUAAUUUUCUAUUAUCACUGGUCAUUAACAGAUUAUCUACAAACUAAAACUCAAUUCAGUGUACAGAGGAUUAUCAUGUCUACCUGUUACCGCUACUUAAAUCAGUCGUAAUUUAUUCUCGCCUAAGAUAUUGAAUCAGUCAGUGUUUGAUUUCGAAAAUGGCAAAGUAAUUCUUACAUUAAAAGCUCGGUUCUUGAACGACAAGUGUAUAGAAAAAAUUAUCAAGACAAUUAAGUGAAAAAAAAAUAAGCGUACUUUUUUUUUAUGUCUAUGCUGUUACCAACCAUUUUGAAUUAAUGAUGAAACUACGUAUGUUGUAAAAGUGCAAUAACGCUAUGUUGGAAACCAAAUUCACAAUAGGAAAACCUAAUCACUUUCACCAAAGGGGAUAGAUUAUUUCACAACAGCAAUCAAAAACGAAGGAAAUUUGCUUUCUAUCCUGUUAUGUCUUUCCUGGUUACGUAUGGUUGUUAUGGUUACAGUAACAGAUAGACAAUUAUAACAAAACAGUCAGUUAACUUUUUUUAUCUAACAUUGUAGGUGGAAAACGAAUGAAAUAUUUCAUUAUUUGAACCCAUUUAAGUAUAUAACGCAUUAAUUCUUCCCAAUUAAGCGUUUUGCAGGUGCAAUACUGAUAAUCGGUAACAGGAUUAGACAAAAAGUAACAGGAUAGACUUUUAAUAGUGAAUAUAUUAGAAAACGUACGUUCCUGUUCCAACGAAAUAAAGAGAAAAAGUAAAUUAACUUAUGAGGGAUUUACUUAUGUGGUUUAUUUGAAAGGGUGAAAAAAAAGGACCGAACUGCAAAUAUAAAUGCUAUCUAUAGACUUGCAUUACUGGUGUAAUUAUUUACAACUUUUGAAAAUCAUUUUAGAGCCAAUUUUUCAGAUACAACUAGAAAAGGGCAAUAAUCUAUUAUUUUAUAAGAAUUGAAUAUAUAUAGAAGUUUUAUUUUCUCUAUUGAAAAACCAAUCUAAUUGGUAACGUAAAACAAGGCAUUAACAUUAUUAUUAAACCUUUUCUAAUAACCCAAAAUUUCUUAUCUGAAAAUUGUUACAGAUAGACAAAUAUUGUAACCACCGAUCAAAAAAUGCUUUCAAGAUAUUCUGUAUUGACAUCAUUAAAAUUGCAUCUUUUAAAUAUGUUGUUCUUCAAAGUACUGUUUGUUUGAUUAUUGCCUUUAUGAGAGGGUUGUAUUGAUAAGUAACUUUAAUAAAUUAUUUCAAUGUCAAAAUUCGACAUUUUUUGAGAAAAAUGACCCAACAUCAUGAGAAAAACUUGUGCAGACGGACACUCGAGCGUGCAGGGUAAAAUGUUUAUAUAUACACUAGUUAAACACUCUUUAAAUAUGUUUGACGCGAUGGCGUAAUCGGUUUGACAGAGAAUUGGUGAUCGCAGGGCGAAUUGAGAUCGAACCUUGCAGAUAUUUUUUUUUUUCCAAACAACUUUUGUUAACGUAAUUAAGAUUUAAAAUGAAUAUUUUUAUUACGUCCAACUUUACUUUUAAUGUAAACUUUUCUUUAGAUGAUUAUGAUCUUAAAAGAAUUUGUAUUUAUGCCAGUUUUACAGACAUGUUUCAACCGUUUGCAUUUAAAACUGUUAAAGAAAAAAAAUGACCGUUGUCCGAUUUCAUCAUUUAUUAAUAUAUGAGGAGAAUGAAAGCACAAUGCGGAGUUGACAUGCUUAUUAAAGAUCUAUACACAUACGGAUUGUUCAUUGUUGAAAGGCCGUACGGUGACCUAUAGUUGUUAAUGUUUGUGUCAGUUUUGGUCUGUUUUGUGGAUAGUUGUCUCACUUGGCAAUCAUACCACAUCUUCUUUUUUUAUAUUAAGUAUAUUUCCUUUCAUUUUACAGGUUGCAACAUAUGAAUUAAUGUAGAGGUGUAAUCUUCUUCGUUUAAAGUUUCUUCUACGGACAUCAUCUGGCCAUCUUUAAAUCUUUAGAGUUGACAAACUUGUCUUACAGAUAUAGAAAUAAAAAUAAGGUAGGUUAUAUUUUAAACUCAUUAUUAAUUUAAAAAUUGUGAUACAUUUUACGCCUCAAUAAGGGCAUAGUGUUUUUCGGUCUUUGUGUCUGUUCAUUUGUCCGUUCGUUCGUUCGUCCGUCCAUCUGUCCCGCUUCAGGUUAAAGUUUUGGUCAAGGUAGUUUUUGAUGAGGUUGAAGUUCAAUCAACGUGAAACUUAGUACCAGGGCCGUAACUAGCCUCUUUUAAUAGUGAGGCAAAAUAUAUUCGCCGAGCGUAUAGAGGCGAAAAAAAUACACAUGUUCCCUGUGAUAUGAUCUUUCUGAUUUAAAUGACAAGUUAGAGUUUUACCCGAAAUCACGGUCCUAUAAACAUGGAAAAUGGUAGUGUGAUUAGGGCAUCCGUGUACUAUGGACCGUAACAUUAUUGUUCAUAUUUUUUUUUAACUCUAUCCAAAUUGAAUAAUUAUUUAUUACUGUAAUUAAAAGGACAAAGUAUAAAGCUGCGAUUUCAUAUACUGGAAAAAACAGAAUAUGGGGUAUCCAUCCAUGACACAUGUGACAUAUGCAGUACAAUUUUAUUGGUUUUAAUCUUUCAACUUCAUUAUAAAUAACACUCACAGUAAUUACUUAUUAUAGGGUGAUUUACAAAUGCAGUGUAUAAAAAGAAACAAUCUUUUGUUUCAGAUAAUUGAAAGGAAUGUAGGACAUGAUAUUGGAUAGACUUCGGACUGUUUGGGUUUUUCAUUAAGUUAAUAAAUCAGAUUUACGUGUCUGGUAAGUUUAUUGGAAUAUAAUUUUCUUUAAAAGAUGUGGUAUGAUGACCAAUUAGACAAAUCUCAACCAGAGAGGAAAUGACAUAGAAGGUAACGACUUUAGGUCACCGUACAGUCUUCAACAAUAAACAAAACCCAUACCGCAAAUAAGCAAUAAAUUACCACAAAAAUGAGAAUUCUCUGUUUAAAAUGGCAGCUGACACUUUCAAGGCAGGACAAAUUCAUCUUCAAGAAAACUACGUUGUACAGAAUCAAUUCAGAUGUUGCUGAUAGGUUGUUUGCUGUAUAGUUUCAGUUUCCUGUUUUUGAUAUACUUCUUUUUAUUAUCAAUUCAAUUGUCUUGUUGAAUCUAAUUUUCAUCUUCCACGUUUUGCUCUUAUGGCUGCAUUCUGAUUUCAGUAAUAACGCAGUGUUAACUUUUUUUUUGUUAAUGUCCUGGAGUCGUAUAUAUUUUUUGAAGAUCUAAAUGUAGACUGUAUUUAAAUUAAUCAUAUUUUUUUUUUAUUUCAGUAACACAGACAAAAUGUUAUAUGUAUAUCCUUACAUAUGUAUAAAACAAAUAUAAAAAUGUAGUAGGCUGCCAUAAACAUUAAAAUAAGGAAUGGGACAGGGACUAUCACUGUAAGUUUGAAAUGCAUAGUGACGUGGAUUUAAAGAUAGACAUAUACAUAUGUUAAAGACAUCAGAAAACAAUCAUCAAAGCGUGCAUGCUAGCUUAUUUCUAUAUUUUAUAUCUACAUCUACAGACGCCGAAAUGAUAAAAAUUGAAAGACAACAUUGCUUUUUAUUUUGAACGCAGAUAUAUUUUUAUCUUGACUUUUGUGUUUAAAUAAUUGAAUUUCU
This 4361-nucleotide long non-coding RNA is filed under the name Mytilus galloprovincialis (Mediterranean mussel). The record is from RNAcentral. Lineage: Eukaryota; Metazoa; Mollusca; Bivalvia; Mytilida; Mytilidae.